This is a long non-coding RNA of Trachymyrmex septentrionalis, 125 nucleotides long. RefSeq lists it as uncharacterized. The record is from RefSeq and is a predicted model, not a curated record. Lineage: Eukaryota; Metazoa; Arthropoda; Insecta; Hymenoptera; Formicidae. The transcript is spliced from 3 exons.
AAUAAAUUGAAAAAUUAUAUGAAAUAUGUACAAAUUGCCCGUCAUUUUCAUAAAAUAAUAGUUGGAAGAAGUCGUAACAAAUUAAGUGUACAGGAAUGUGUACUUAGGUUAAUUAAAAAAUUAAG